This 468-nucleotide ribosomal RNA is filed under the name uncultured bacterium. Its description in RNAcentral is "partial 16S ribosomal RNA". It matches the Rfam family "Bacterial small subunit ribosomal RNA", at positions 28 to 507 of the family's 1533-position model. The record is from RNAcentral.
GACGAACGCUGGCGGCGUGCUUAACACAUGCAAGUCGAACGGACAGGCCCUGCUUUUGUUGGUUGCUCGAUUGGCGAACGGGUGAGUAACACGUGAGUAACCUGCCCUUGUCUUUGUGAUAACUUCAGGAAACUGGGGCUAAUACCGGAUAGGAGCUCCUGCUGCAUGGUGGUCGUUGGAAAGUUUCGGCGUUUGGGGAUGGACUCGCGGCUUAUCAGCUUGUUGGUGGGGUAGUGGCUUACCAAGGCUUUGACGGGUAGCCGGCCUGAGAGGGUGAACGGCCACAUUGGGACUGAGAUACGGCCCAGACUCGUACGGGAGGCAGCAGGGGGGAAUAUUGCACAAUGGGCGGAAGCCUGAUGCAGCAACGCCGCGUGCGGGAUGACGGCCUUCGGGGUGUAAACCGCUUUCGCCUGUGACGAAGCGUGAGUGACGGUAAUGGGUAAAGAAGCACCGGCUAACUACGUG